UGGGGAAUAUUGCACAAUGGGGGAAACCCUGAUGCAGCGACGCCGCGUGAACGAAGAAGGUAUUCGUAUCGUAAAGUUCUGUCCUAUGGGAAGAUAAUGACAGUACCAUAGAAGAAAGCUCCGGCUAAAUACGUGCCAGCAGCCGCGGUAAUACGUAUGGAGCGAGCGUUGUCCGGAAUUAUUGGGCGUAAAGGGUACGCAGGCGGUUUAAUAAGUCGAAUGUUAAAGAUCGGGGCUCAACCCCGUAAAGCAUUGGAAACUGAUAAACUUGAGUAGUGGAGAGGAAAGUGGAAUUCCUAGUGUAGUGGUGAAAUACGUAGAUAUUAGGAGGAAUACCAGUAGCGAAGACGACUUUCUGGACACAAACUGACGCUGAGGUACGAAAGCGUGGGGAGCAAACAGG
This 403-nucleotide ribosomal RNA is filed under the name bacterium. RNAcentral's name for it is "partial 16S ribosomal RNA". It matches the Rfam family "Bacterial small subunit ribosomal RNA", at positions 355 to 776 of the family's 1533-position model. The record is from RNAcentral.